UUUUGGGCUUGGUAAUUGGAAUGAGGGAGAGUUAAACGGACCAUCGAGUAUCCAUUGGAGGGCAAGUCUGGUGCCAGCAGCUGCGGUAAUACCAGCUCCAAUAGCGUAUAUUAAAGUUGUUGCAGUUAAAAAGCUCGUAGUUGGACUUGUGUGCGCUGUCCGGGUGGCCUGCGCCCAAAAGGGCGUUUCGGUUCGGCCCCGGUGGCGCCUUGAAAUCUGCAGCUGGGGGGACGUUGGCCUUAACUGGUCGGCGACCACACGCCGGCUGCUCGGUUACUGUGAGAAAAUUAGAGUGUUCAAGGCAGGCAUUGGGUGCAAUUGAAUACAUUAGCAUGGAAUAAUAAAAUAUGGCUCCUGCCGUAUUUUGUUGGUUUUGACUGGUGGGAGUAAUGAUUGAUAGGGACGGUUGGGGGUGCUAGUAUUGAGCGGCCAGAGGUGAAAUUCAUGGAUUCGCUCAAGACUAACUUAUGCGAAAGCAUUCACCAAGGACGUCCUCUUUAAUCAAGAACGAAAGUUGGGGGAUCGAAGACGAUCAGAUACCGUCGUAGUCUCAACCGUAAACUAUGUCGACUUGGGAUCGGCGGUAGUUUUUUCAUUAAGACACUGUCGGGACCACGGGAGAAAUCAAAGUGUCUGGACUCUGGGGGAAGUAUGGUCGCAAGGCUGAAACUUGAAGGAAUUGACGGAAGGGCACCACCAGGAGUGGAGCCUGCGGCUUGAUUUGACCCAACACGGGGAAACUUACCAGGUCCAGAGAUGUAGAGGAUUGACAGAUUGAAGCUCUUUCUUGAUCACUUCGGUGGUGGUGCAUGGCCGUUCUUAGUUGGUGGAGUGAUUUGUCUGGUUAAUUCCGUUAACGAACGAGACCUCAGCCUGCUAGUGUAGUCGGCUGGAUUGCCUUUGGCGAUCCGUGAUUUCGACUUCUUAGAGGGACAAUCGACGCGCAGUCGAUGGAAGUUUGAGGCAAUAACAGGUCUGUGAUGCCCUUAGAUGUUCUGGGCCGCACGCGCGCUACACUGCUGGGCUCAGCGAGUUUUACUUGGCCGAGAGGCCCGGUUAAUCUUGUGAAAUCCCAGCGUGCUUGGGCUCGCCUCCUGCAACUGGAGGCGCCAACGAGGAAUUCCUAGUAGACGCAGGUCAUCAACCUGCAUCGAUUACGUCCCUGCCCUUUGUACACACCGCCCGUCGUUCCAUAAGAGUGAGGCAUCCGGUGAAUUCUCGGGAGAGCCUGGGCGUGGCCAGCAAUGGUCUGCUCGGGUUUGAACUUGCAUAAACUUGGUGCCUAUGAUUAGGG
Molecule: ribosomal RNA, 1294 nt
Filed under: metagenome
Description: SSU rRNA
Rfam family: Eukaryotic small subunit ribosomal RNA
Source: RNAcentral